GAACUUGGGAUUUGGGUAGUGAAGCACCCAGAGCCAGUCCCAGUCCCAGUCUCAUUGGGCUCACUUGUUUGGAUUUACCAAGGACAGAGUCAGUCUUUCUUUGUACCUACUGAUGUGAGGAUUGCCAAUUGACAGGAAAGUUCUGAAGAGGGAACUUUCCUGAGAAAGAAGGUAUUGGCUCAUCACCAGCUCCUGACAACUUCACAUAUUUGGCCAAAGAGACCAGAUCUGAGACAGGACAGGCCACUGCUCGGGAAUAUAGUAUGGCCCACCAGUCAGAGGACACUCCAGAUAGUCAAAGAUGUACUUGGGGCCUCAGAUCAGUCUCCUACUGAUCUUGCAGGUUUCUUUCAUUUGCAUUUCAACAUAAAUCCUGGAUGAGGUCUGGAAGAAGCAGGGAUAAACUGCAAUUCUGAGCAGACACCUCAGGCCUAAAGCAUUUUAGCCAAAUUCUGCCAUAGAAGGAAGGAAUUUCCUGAAUAAAUUAAAAAUAGGACAUGUAUCCUGAUAAACCCAGGAAUGUGUAUAUUUGAAACAUUGGCUUGUAUUCCCACAUUGGCUUUCAAUGAAGUGAUGAGAAUUGAACCCAGGGCCUUGUGCAUGUGAAAGCAAGUACAGUACCAACGGAGCUAUAUCACCAGACCCCAAACAUUGCAUUUUAAAAGUGCUUCAAUAAAAGAAAGAAGACACAU
Non-coding RNA from Ictidomys tridecemlineatus (thirteen-lined ground squirrel), 692 nucleotides. NCBI's taxonomy places the organism in Eukaryota, Metazoa, Chordata, Mammalia, Rodentia, Sciuridae. The record is from RefSeq and is a predicted model, not a curated record.